CUUGUGGACUGUUAUAUCAAAUGAAAGUAGAUUUUUCGUAGUUUACGAAGUUGAAAUCAGACAGAUUGAAGCAAGAA
RNAcentral lists this non-coding RNA (77 nucleotides) under unclassified sequences. Its description in RNAcentral is "RAGATH-18 RNA". It matches the Rfam family "RAGATH-18 RNA". From Rfam's summary of the family: Actinobacteria, Firmicutes, Fusobacteria, Thermotogae (1 example). The record is from Rfam by way of RNAcentral.